UAUGGUCUCUACAACAGUGCUGAAACUGAAAAAAUGACCAUUGUGUACAAUGGGAAAGUCUUUGAUUUUGAUCUUUCUGCACUCAAGGUGCACAAUAUUCUGAAAAUUGCUGCUGAGGAAAAACUCUCAAAAUCUGCUGAAUCUACGGAGACCGAAGUUUUACAGAUUUUGUGUGAACAAGAUCUUUCAGAAAAUCUUCCCAUGGCUAGGAGGAAAACUUUGU
This is a long non-coding RNA of Olea europaea var. sylvestris, 223 nucleotides long. RefSeq lists it as uncharacterized. The transcript has 3 exons. The record is from RefSeq and is a predicted model, not a curated record. Lineage: Eukaryota; Viridiplantae; Streptophyta; Magnoliopsida; Lamiales; Oleaceae.